CUACGAGUUUGAUCAUGGCUCAGAUUGAACGCUGGCGGUAUGCUUAAGACAUGCAAGUCGUGCGGUAGAAGGCUUCGGCCUUUGAGAGCGGCGGACGGGUGAGUAACACGUGGGAAUCUGCCUAUUAGUGGGGGACAGCCCAGCGAAAGCUGGAUUAAUACCGCAUACGCCCUACGGGGGAAAGCAGCAAUGCGCUAAUAGAUGAGCCCGCGUAAGAUUAGCUAGUUGGUAAGGUAAAGGCUCACCAAGGCGACGAUCUGUAGCGGGUCUGAGAGGAUGAUCCGCCACACUGGAACUGAGACACGGCCCAGACUCCUACGGGAGGCAGCAGUGGGGAAUCUUGCGCAAUGGGGGCAACCCUGACGCAGCCAUGCCGCGUGAAUGAUGAAGGCCUUAGGGUUGUAAAGUUCUUUUGCCCGUGACGAUGAUGACGGUAACGGGAGAAUAAGCUCCGGCUAACUUCGUG
Molecule: ribosomal RNA, 466 nt
Filed under: uncultured bacterium
Lineage: Bacteria
Description: bacterial SSU rRNA
Rfam family: Bacterial small subunit ribosomal RNA
Source: RNAcentral